CCGUUAGGACCCAGAAGCUCUCCGAGCAUCCCGCUCUGCCGGCUGCCUCUCAUGCUUGCUGCAGUGGCUUCAGCAGCCUCGGAGAAGCAGCAUCAGCCGGGAGAAGCUAUCACAUGGGGACCUGGAGCUGCUCGGCAAAGAUGCCUUUAUGAGGACACCGGAGAUCCGAAGGGUCCCCCAGGGAAAGUGAGUAGCCCCAGCCCUGGGACUGGAAGCCAGGCCUCGCGCUCUUCCUCAACAGCGCCCCCCUCCGGGGGAGACAAGAAGUCAGGAAAUUCGCAUCAAAACUUUCCAACGGAGGCCUCGUGGGGAGCUCAGCUGGACCCUGGGAGAGGAGAGCAGAGGAUUCAGACUGGCUGAGCCACCGCCUUCCAGAGGGGCGACGGGUGGGGCCCUGGAGGAGAGAACGCGGUGAGGAAGGAGCCCGAGGCCAGCGGGCAGGUGGGGUGGGGAGCGUCCGAGGCUCCCACGUCUCUCGCCACGUCUGUCUCCAACGUCGCCACGGUCACCAGGGCCCACCCCGAGCCACCUCCCCUCAGAGAGAUGCGCUCCUGAGCCCUCGGUUUCCGGCCGGGCGCUGCGGACCAGCGACCCAGCCUCCAGGGCUGCCCACGAGAGCCUGCCCGUGGGACUCCGGCGGGAGGCGCCCGCCCCCCAGCACCGGGAAGCCUGGGCCUGGGCUGGCCACCCCAGGAUCACCGGACUAGGAUGGGGGAUGGGCCUGUGACGGGAGGUGCCCUGGGCGUCCUCUUCCGGCCCCAUGGAGUCCUCGCCCGUCCCCCAGUCGUCAGGGAACUCUUCCGCGCUGGGGAGGGCCCCUCACACCCCCGGUCCCUCCACUGCCAGUGGGGUCCCCGAGGCGGAGCUGCGGGACGUGGCUUCGGAAUCCGUGGCGCUCUUCUUCAUGCUCCUGCUGGACCUGACCGCCGUGGCUGGCAACGCCGCCGUGAUGGCCGUCAUCGCCAAGACACCCGCGCUCCGGAAAUUCGUCUUUGUCUUCCACCUCUGCCUGGUGGACCUGCUGGCCGCGCUGACCCUCAUGCCCCUGGCCAUGCUCUCCAGCUCCGCCCUCUUUGACCAUGACCUCUUUGGAGAGGUCGCCUGCCGCCUCUACUUGUUCCUGAGCGUCUGCUUCGUCAGCCUGGCCAUUCUCUCGGUGUCCGCCAUCAACGUGGAGCGCUAUUACUACGUGGUCCACCCCAUGCGCUACGAGGUGCGCAUGACGCUGGGGCUGGUAACCUCCGUGCUGGUGGGCGUGUGGGUGAAGGCCUUGGCCGUGGCUUCCGUGCCCGUGCUGGGCAGGGUCUCCCGGGAGGAGGGAGCUCCCAGCAUGCCCCCAGGUUGCUCACUCCAAUGGAGCCGCAGUGCCUACUGCCAGCUUUUCGUGGUGGUCUUUGCCAUCCUCUACUUCCUGUUGCCCCUGCUCCUCAUCCUGGUGGUCUACUGCAGCAUGUUCCGCGUGGCCCGCGUGGCUGCCAUGCAGCACGGACCGCUGCCCACGUGGAUGGAGACCCCCCGGCAGCGCUCGGAGUCUCUCAGCAGCCGCUCCACCAUGGUCACCAGCUCGGGGGCCCACCAGACCACCCCGCACCGGACGUUUGGGGGCGGGAAGGCGGCCGUGGUCCUCCUGGCCGUGGGGGGACAGUUCCUGCUCUGUUGGUUGCCCUACUUUUCUUUCCACCUCUACGUGGCCCUGAGCGCUCAGCCCAUCUCGACCAGGCAGGUGGAGAACGUGGUGACGUGGAUUGGCUACUUCUGCUUCACCUCCAACCCUUUCUUCUACGGCUGUCUCAAUAGGCAGAUCCGGGGGGAGCUCAGCAAGCAGUUUGUCUGCUUCUUCAAGCAGGCUCCGGAGGAGGAGCUGAGGCUGCCCAGCCGGGAGGGCUCCAUCGAGGAGAACUUCCUGCAGUUCCUUCAGGGGACUGGCUGUUCCACCGAGUCCUGGGCUUCCCGGCCCCUCCCCAGCCCCAAGCAGGAGCCGGCCACCGUGGACUUCCGAAUCCCGGGCCAGAUAGCGGAGGAGACCUCGGAGCUGCUGGAGCAACAGCUCACCAGCGACAUCAUCACGUCCGACAGCUACCUCCGUCCUGCCCCCUCACCUCGACCCGAGUCAUGACGGGCUGCUGGACGCCCGGAGGGAGCGGGGCUGGGGGCCGGUCAGCACCGCACAGAGCACCUUGUGGGCCGCCUUUCCCCAGCGAGCCGGGGCUGGGGCUGGGGUCUGUGCACACUUAGAGUUUUCUGGGUCAGGAACAGAGCCAACAGGAUGGACAUGUGGCCAGAGCCUUGGACAUGGCUGUGACCCUUGACUCCUGGGGGAGGGAGCCUGGCGAGAUGGUGAUGAGAGGAAAGGGUCACGAAGGGCCGGCCUCCCCGAUUUCUCUCACGGCGGUGACCCACCUCCAGCCCCCCAGACAACCCGGUGCAGAGACUAAGGUUGGGAACGGGUCGGGAGGGGUUUCCACGGUCCAUUAAACCAAAACCUCCCUACUCCCAGGCAUCACUCUCAAAAUUAGCUUCAGUGGCAAAAGACUUAAAUCUCUCUCCUACCUGCAGCCCUGGGGUGGAGACGGGCCACAGGAGCGGGGCUCAGCACCCACCGAUUGACGCUGUAGGGACUGUGUUGGGUGGUGUUGGGGUGAUGUUUUCAAGGGAGGGGGGAACUGCGCCCUGGAUGGGGUGUCCACCCGGGACUACUCGUCCAUCCAGCUCCCUCAGCCGAGGCGGGUAGCAGUGCAAGGUUGAGGCAGAACCGAGAGGGUGCGCGCUCUGCAUUUGAACAAAUCCCUGGCUCACUGAGCGUCAGAGGGGAGGACGGCCUGCUGG
RNA transcript from Phyllostomus hastatus (greater spear-nosed bat), 2826 nucleotides. It is a transcript of the gene named G protein-coupled receptor 61, with no coding region annotated. The record is from RefSeq and is a predicted model, not a curated record. NCBI's taxonomy places the organism in Eukaryota, Metazoa, Chordata, Mammalia, Chiroptera, Phyllostomidae. The transcript is spliced from 3 exons.